RNAcentral lists this ribosomal RNA (508 nucleotides) under uncultured bacterium. RNAcentral's name for it is "partial 16S ribosomal RNA". It matches the Rfam family "Bacterial small subunit ribosomal RNA", at positions 30 to 523 of the family's 1533-position model. The record is from RNAcentral.
AUUGAACGCUGGCGGCAUGCCUUACACAUGCAAGUCGAACGGCAGCGGGGGAGAAGCUUGCUUUUCCUGCUGGCGAGUGGCGAACGGGUGAGUAAUACAUCGGAACGUGCCCUGUAGUGGGGGAUAACUAGUCGAAAGAUUAGCUAAUACCGCAUACGACCUGAGGGUGAAAGUGGGGGACCGCAAGGCCUCAUGCUAUAGGAGCGGCCGAUGUCUGAUUAGCUAGUUGGUGGGGUAAAGGCCUACCAAGGCGACGAUCGGUAGCUGGUCUGAGAGGAUGAUCAGCCACACUGGGACUGAGACACGGCCCAGACUCCUACGGGAGGCAGCAGUGGGGAAUUUUGGACAAUGGGGGCAACCCUGAUCCAGCCAUGCCGCGUGCGGGAAGAAGGCCUUCGGGUUGUAAACCGCUUUUGUCCGGGAAGAAAAGGCGUCUCCUAAUACGGGGCGUUCUUGACGGUACCUUGAUAAGAAGCACCGGCUAACUACGUGCCAGCAGCCGCAGUAA